Molecule: transfer-messenger RNA, 354 nt
Filed under: Desulfobulbaceae bacterium
Lineage: Bacteria; Pseudomonadati; Thermodesulfobacteriota; Desulfobulbia; Desulfobulbales; Desulfobulbaceae
Rfam family: transfer-messenger RNA
About the family: Bacterial tmRNA, also known as 10Sa RNA or SsrA, is named for its dual tRNA and mRNA-like properties. Its role is to liberate the mRNA from a stalled ribosome.
Source: RNAcentral
GGGGGCGAAACGGAUUCGACGGGGAUAACGAAGCUCAGACUGCAUGCCGAGGUCUCUACCUGCUCGUAAAACGGUGGAAAAUAAAGAUAGUCGCAGACGACUACUCUUACGCUCUGGCUGCAUAGCCAGCGUCCCCCCCUUCCGCUCCCGCGGGAUUGGGAUGGGGCGUCGACUAGCGGGAUAGCCAAGGGGAGCCGCCGGCCGGCCCCAAGGCGAAACAAAGGCUGGAUAGCGCACGAAACACUCGGUCCCGGAGCGGUUUCGGGCGCGAUAAGAAGCUACUCGGGAAUAAGCAUGUAGACGUUUGACGUGGACUAUUUUCGGACGCGGGUUCAACUCCCGCCGCCUCCACCA